This 1057-nucleotide long non-coding RNA is filed under the name Fukomys damarensis (Damara mole-rat). RNAcentral describes it as "lncRNA (ENSFDAG00000026211.1)". The record is from RNAcentral. Lineage: Eukaryota; Metazoa; Chordata; Mammalia; Rodentia; Bathyergidae.
AUGAAUCUGUUCAAUGACAAUGCAGUGUCACAUUUCUACAAAACCCUCAGCAGGGAGCAAAAGCAAGUGUCAUUAGAUAGGUUCCUUGUUUUGUUUGUUUGUUUGUUUUGUUUUGUUUACUUUUUGUACCUGGGAUCAAACCCAGGACCUUUUGCUUACAAGGCAGGCAGCAAAACCACUGAACUAAAUCCCCCCCGGAUGGGUUCCUUGCUUAAGCUGCAUGAAAAGAAAAAGAUUCCACUGAGCCUACAGAGAGCAGAGUCCAUUCGUGAUAGUGAAAGUCAUCUACACAACAACACUCUUGUCUCUUAUCACUCUCACACCAGCCACAAAGGUUUUCAAAGUGACCCAUGUUAGAGGAGGAAGAUAGAACUUUGAGAGCCCCAUCUGCCACCCCAAAGCCACCAUCCUCUCAUCCUCGGCCAGCACAAACCUUUACAGGAACAAGCAGCAGCCAAAUACACCCCAGAAAUUACUUGGAGACAUCUGUGAGCAUCCGUGCAGUCCACCCAACCCAUAACAGUAGCUACAACCACUGUCUUCAUCAACUAUAGCACCACUCAUGUACUCCUGCCCGGAGACCCAGAACACCACCAGGACAUGAUGCUCUGGAUCUCAUGGAACAUGACCUCAUCUGAUGGUACAGUUAGAGGGGGGACUGGUCUAACUCAUCUAAUCACAUUGGGCCCCUGUCUCUGGGGCACACAAACUAGGACUCUCUUGGGAGUCUCAAAAAGCAGGUGACAAGACAAAGGAGGCUUUCUGAGAUUGCUGGAUGGGCCGGCUUUCUGAACAUACUUGGCUGGAGACCCAUAAGUGCCAGGAGCCAGGGACCCUAGCCACCCCUGCAUCAACCUCCUCCUUUCCAGCUGUCUUUUCCCUCUGCUAAGUUAAUAUUCUGAGCUUGUUCAUUUUCCAGGAUAGAAAGUUUAACAUCUUCAUUUCAUCCUGGUCCUUCCACGACUGGUAGCAAGAGGCUGAGUGGGCUUGGAGACCCAAGGUCUACACCCUCUGGGAUGGUGCAAGGAGCUCUAGGAAGGAGAAGACAUGGGAACAG